CGCGGUGGUCCCACCUGACCCCAUGCCGAACUCAGAAGUGAAACGCCGUAGCGCCGAUGGUAGUGUGGGGCUUCCCCAUGCGAGAGUAGGGAACUGCCAGGC
RNAcentral lists this ribosomal RNA (102 nucleotides) under Escherichia albertii. Lineage: Bacteria; Pseudomonadati; Pseudomonadota; Gammaproteobacteria; Enterobacterales; Enterobacteriaceae. The record is from RNAcentral. RNAcentral also lists the same sequence under 1 other name.